Molecule: ribosomal RNA, 869 nt
Filed under: uncultured bacterium
Lineage: Bacteria
Description: bacterial SSU rRNA
Rfam family: Bacterial small subunit ribosomal RNA
Source: RNAcentral
AGGGGCUUGAGUGUGGUAGGGGCAGAGGGAAUUCCCGGUGUAGCGGUGAAAUGCGUAGAUAUCGGGAAGAACACCAGUGGCGAAGGCGCUCUGCUGGGCCAUCACUGACGCUCAUGGACGAAAGCCAGGGGAGCGAAAGGGAUUAGAUACCCCUGUAGUCCUGGCCGUAAACGAUGAACACUAGGUGUCGGGGGAAUCGACCCCCUCGGUGUCGUAGCCAACGCGUUAAGUGUUCCGCCUGGGGAGUACGCACGCAAGUGUGAAACUCAAAGGAAUUGACGGGGGCCCGCACAAGCGGUGGAGUAUGUGGUUUAAUUCGAUGCAACGCGAAGAACCUUACCAGGGUUUGACAUCCUGCGAAUCUCUUGGAAACGAGAGAGUGCCUUCGGGAACGCAGUGACAGGUGGUGCAUGGCUGUCGUCAGCUCGUGUCGUGAGAUGUUGGGUUAAGUCCCGCAACGAGCGCAACCCACGUCUUUAGUUGCCAGCAUUUAGUUGGGCACUCUAGAGAGACCGCCGGUGAUAAACCGGAGGAAGGUGUGGAUGACGUCAAGUCAUCAUGCCCCUUACAUCCUGGGCUACACACGUACUACAAUGCUACGGACAAAGGGCAGCAAGUUCGCGAGGACAAGCAAAUCCCAUAAACCGUGGCUCAGUUCAGAUCGUAGGCUGCAACUCGCCUACGUGAAGGAGGAAUCGCUAGUAAUCGCAGGUCAGCAUACUGCGGUGAAUACGUUCCCGGGCCUUGUACACACCGCCCGUCACACCAUGGAAGUUGGCCACGCCCGAAGCCGUUACUCCAACCCUUGUGGAGGAGGACGUCGAAGGUGGGGCUGAUGACUGGGGUGAAGUCGUAACAAGGUAACCGUA